CAGAUCUUUUCGAUAUCUAUAAAGAUAAUGUGACUUUUUUCUCUUUUUUUUAGUAUCAUAUCAGUCGUUAUAGGCUAGUUUGUGCUUCAGUAACUAAUAACCUUAAAAUCUCAGUAGCUUUAAACAACAUGGUUUAUUUCUGGCUCAUACUCCAUGUCAGUGGAAUUCCAUACUUUCCUUCCUCCCAGAGCCAGGCUCAUAGAGCAGCCAUCAUCUGGCAUUUUGAGAGAUGCUGUCUGUGGUGGAGAGAAAGGGAACAUGGUAGGUCAGCCACUGACUUUUAAACUUUCCACUUGGAAAUAAUACACAUGACUUUAGCUAACAUUUUAUUCACCAGUGCAAAUCACAUGGCCACAGAGAACCGAAGAAGAGGUCAAAUAAUUCUACCAUGUAACCUGGAAAAGAAGUGGAAGUGUUUGGUCAAUAUAUAACUAAAUAUAUUAAUACAUUUCUUGAUUUGAAUGAAUCUUAAAUUUCUGAAAUGAAUGUAUCAUGGAUUUUUUUUAGUGUGCUUUUAGGUUCUGUUUGGCAAUAUUUAGGAAUUUCACAUGGAUAUAAGUGAGAUACAUUUUAUUUUGUGUGUGCUCAUGUGGGCAGUCUUUGUCAGGGCUUGGUAUUAUUCUAGCUUUAAAAAGAAGAGUAUUUAACUUACUUUUUAUGCUCCUGUAUAAAAUGUAAGCAGAGUUGGAGGCUUAUGUUCUUUAAAGACUUAGUAGAACUGACCUGUGAAACAAUCUAGGAAUGGGCUUUCUGGGGGUAGAAAAGGGUACAGCCAGGAAACUGUCUAUAUUUCUUCUGUGCUAAUUGGUUUGUUCAGAUAAUAUUAUCUCUACUCUAAAUUGUGUUCAUUUAUAUUUUUAGAAUUUUAUUUAAUUCCAGGUAUUUGUUUUGCAUAUAUUUGAACAAAUAAGUAUACUGAUAAGCUUUUACUGUCCUUGGUUCUUUAGUUACCCGU
Molecule: long non-coding RNA, 955 nt
Filed under: Homo sapiens (human)
Lineage: Eukaryota; Metazoa; Chordata; Mammalia; Primates; Hominidae
Description: HSALNT0058441
Source: RNAcentral